ACAAGUGCAUGUGGUGGAUGCCUUGGCGAUCACAGGCGAUGAAGGACGCGGUAGCCUGCGAAAAGCUACGGGGAGCUGGCAAACGAGCUUUGAUCCGUAGAUGUCCGAAUGGGGAAACCCGGCCCUUUUGGGUCAUCCUAGACUGAAUACAUAGGUCUAGUGAAGCGAACGCGGUGAACUGAAACAUCUAAGUAACCGCAGGAAAAGAAAUCAACCGAGAUUCCCAAAGUAGUGGCGAGCGAAAUGGGAUGAGCCUUGUACUCUUUAUUUGUAUUGUUAGCCGAACGCUCUGGAAAGUGCGGCCAUAGCAGGUGAUAGCCCUGUAGGCGAAAACAGUAUGAAAGAACUAGGUGUACGACAAGUAGGGCGGGACACGUGAAAUCCUGUCUGAAGAUGGGGGGACCAUCCUCCAAGGCUAAAUACUCGUGAUCGACCGAUAGUGAACCAGUACCGUGAGGGAAAGGCGAAAAGAACCCCGGGAGGGGAGUGAAAUAGAUCCUGAAACCGCAUGCAUACAAACAGUCGGAGCCUCGUAAGGGGUGACGGCGUACCUUUUGUAUAAUGGGUCAGCGACUUACGUUCAGUAGCAAGCUUAACCGUAUAGGGCAGGCGUAGCGAAAGCGAGUCCGAAUAGGGCGUUCAGUUGCUGGGCGUAGACCCGAAACCAAGUGAUCUAUCCAUGGCCAGGAUGAAGGUGCGGUAACACGUACUGGAGGUCCGAACCCACUAACGUUGAAAAGUUAGGGGAUGAGCUGUGGAUAGGGGUGAAAGGCUAAACAAACUUGGAAAUAGCUGGUUCUCUCCGAAAACUAUUUAGGUAGUGCCUCGUGUCUCACCUUCGGGGGUAGAGCACUGUCAUGGUUGGGGGGUCUAUUGCAGAUUACCCCGCCAUAGCAAACUCCGAAUACCGAAGAGUGCAAUCACGGGAGACAGACAUCGGGUGCUAACGUCCGGUGUCAAGAGGGAAACAACCCAGACCGCCAGCUAAGGUCCCCAAAUAUAGCUAAGUGGGAAACGAAGUGGGAAGGCUAAAACAGUCAGGAGGUUGGCUUAGAAGCAGCCACCCUUUAAAGAAAGCGUAAUAGCUCACUGAUCGAGUCGUCCUGCGCGGAAGAUGUAACGGGGCUAAGCUAUAUACCGAAGCUGCGGAUGCGAGCUUUGCUCGCAUGGUAGGAGAGCGUUCCGUAAGCCUGCGAAGGUGCCUUGUAAAGGGUGCUGGAGGUAUCGGAAGUGCGAAUGCUGACAUGAGUAGCGAUAAAGGGGGUGAAAGGCCCCCUCGCCGUAAGCCCAAGGUUUCCUACGCAACGUUCAUCGGCGUAGGGUGAGUCGGCCCCUAAGGCGAGGCAGAAAUGCGUAGCUGAUGGGAAGCAGGUCAAUAUUCCUGCACCAUUGUUAGAUGCGAUGGGGGGACGGAUCGCGGAAGGUUGUCCGGGUGUUGGAAGUCCCGGUCGCUGCAUUGGAGAAGGCGCUUAGGCAAAUCCGGGCGCAGGAUUCAAGGGUGUGGCGCGAGCUCCUUAGGGAGCGAAGCAAUUGGAAGUGGUUCCAAGAAAAGCCUCUAAGCUUCAGUCUAACGAUGACCGUACCGCAAACCGACACAGGUGGGCGAGAUGAGUAUUCUAAGGCGCUUGAGAGAACUCGGGAGAAGGAACUCGGCAAAUUGGUACCGUAACUUCGGGAUAAGGUACGCCCUUGUAGCUUGACUGGCCUGCGCCAGGAGGGUGAAGGGGUUGCAAUAAACUGGUGGCUGCGACUGUUUAAUAAAAACACAGCACUCUGCAAACACGAAAGUGGACGUAUAGGGUGUGACGCCUGCCCGGUGCCGGAAGAUUAAAUGAUGGGGUGCAAGCUCUUGAUUGAAGUCCCGGUAAACGGCGGCCGUAACUAUAACGGUCCUAAGGUAGCGAAAUUCCUUGUCGGGUAAGUUCCGACCUGCACGAAUGGCGUAACGAUGGCCACACUGUCUCCUCCCGAGACUCAGCGAAGUUGAAGUGUUUGUGAUGAUGCAAUCUACCCGCGGCUAGACGGAAAGACCCCAUGAACCUUUACUGUAGCUUUGCAUUGGACUUUGAACCGAUCUGUGUAGGAUAGGUGGGAGGCUAUGAAACCGGAACGCUAGUUUCGGUGGAGCCGUCCUUGAAAUACCACCCUGGUUUGUUUGAGGUUCUAACCUUGGCCCGUGAUCCGGGUCGGGGACAGUGCAUGGUAGGCAGUUUGACUGGGGCGGUCUCCUCCCAAAGCGUAACGGAGGAGUACGAAGGUACGCUAGGUACGGUCGGAAAUCGUGCUGAUAGUGCAAUGGCAUAAGCGUGCUUAACUGCGAGACCGACAAGUCGAGCAGGUGCGAAAGCAGGUCAUAGUGAUCCGGUGGUUCUGUAUGGAAGGGCCAUCGCUCAACGGAUAAAAGGUACUCUGGGGAUAACAGGCUGAUACCGCCCAAGAGUUCAUAUCGACGGCGGUGUUUGGCACCUCGAUGUCGGCUCAUCUCAUCCUGGGGCUGUAGCCGGUCCCAAGGGUAUGGCUGUUCGCCAUUUAAAGAGGUACGUGAGCUGGGUUUAAAACGUCGUGAGACAGUUUGGUCCCUAUCUGCCGUGGGCGUUGGAUAUUUGAAGGGGGCUGCUCCUAGUACGAGAGGACCGGAGUGGACGAACCUCUGGUGUACCGGUUGUCACGCCAGUGGCAUCGCCGGGUAGCUAUGUUCGGAAGAGAUAACCGCUGAAAGCAUCUAAGCGGGAAACUCGCCUUAAGAUGAGAUAUCCCUGGGGACUAGAUCCCCUUGAAGGGUCGUUCGAGACCAGGACGUUGAUAGGUCAGGUGUGUAAGCGCAGUAAUGCGUUCAGCUAACUGAUACUAAUUGCCCGUAAGGCUUGAUC
RNAcentral lists this ribosomal RNA (2870 nucleotides) under Burkholderia ubonensis subsp. mesacidophila. RNAcentral describes it as "bacterial LSU rRNA". It matches the Rfam family "Bacterial large subunit ribosomal RNA". Lineage: Bacteria; Pseudomonadati; Pseudomonadota; Betaproteobacteria; Burkholderiales; Burkholderiaceae. The record is from RNAcentral.